AGAUAGAGCCCAAUUUAUCAUUA
This 23-nucleotide small nuclear RNA is filed under the name Arabidopsis thaliana (thale cress). Its description in RNAcentral is "snRNA_06328". Lineage: Eukaryota; Viridiplantae; Streptophyta; Magnoliopsida; Brassicales; Brassicaceae. The record is from RNAcentral.